Molecule: small nuclear RNA, 107 nt
Filed under: Mus pahari (shrew mouse)
Lineage: Eukaryota; Metazoa; Chordata; Mammalia; Rodentia; Muridae
Source: RNAcentral
GUGCUUGGUUCGGUAGCACAUAUACUAAAAUUGGAACAAUACAGAGAAGAUUAGCAUGACCCCUGCGCAAGGAUGGCAUGCAAAUCCGUGACAUGUUCCAUAUUUUU